GACGAACGCUGGCGGCGUGCCUAAUACAUGCAAGUCGAGCGAACCAAUAAGAAGCUUGCUUUUUGUUGGUUAGCGGCGGACGGGUGAGUAACACGUGGGUAACCUGCCUGUAAGACCGGGAUAACUCCGGGAAACCGGUGCUAAUACCGGAUAGAUUAUCUUUCCGCAUGGAGAGAUAAGGAAAGAUGGCUAUUGCCAUCACUUACAGAUGGGCCCGCGGCGCAUUAGCUAGUUGGUGAGGUAACGGCUCACCAAGGCGACGAUGCGUAGCCGACCUGAGAGGGUGAUCGGUCACACUUGGACUGAGACACGGCCCAGACUCCUACGGGAAGCAGCAGUAGGGAAUCUUCCGCAACAGACGAAAGUCUGAGGGAGCAACGCCGCUUGAGCGAAGAAGGUCUUCCGAUCGUAAAGCGCUGUUGUUAGGGAAGAACAAGUAUCGGAGGAAAUGCCGGUACCUUGACGGUACCUGACUAGAAAGCCACGGCUAACUACGUG
This 498-nucleotide ribosomal RNA is filed under the name uncultured bacterium. Its description in RNAcentral is "partial 16S ribosomal RNA". It matches the Rfam family "Bacterial small subunit ribosomal RNA", at positions 28 to 507 of the family's 1533-position model. The record is from RNAcentral.